UUUUCCGGUUGAUCCCGCCGGAGGUCACUGCUAUUGGGAUUCGACUAAGCCAUGCGAGUCGAGAGGGUUCGGCCCUCGGCAGACGGCUCAGUAACACGUGGAUAAUCUGCCCUUAGGUGGAAGAUAACCUCGGGAAACUGAGAAUAAUAUUCCAUAGAUCUAAGAUGCUGGAAUGCACUUAGAUUUAAAGCUUCGGCGCCUAAGGAUGAGUCUGCGGACUAUCAGGUAGUAGUCAGGGUAAAGGCCUGACUAGCCUACGACGGAUACGGGUUGUGAGAGCAAUAACCCGGAGACGAUAUCUGAGACACGAUAUCGGGCCCUACGGGGCGCAGCAGGCGCGAAAACUUCACAAUGUGCGAAAGCACGAUGAGGGAAUCCCAAGUGCUUGCUCGUAAGAGUAAGCUGUUUUUAUGUCUAAAAUGCAUAGAGAGUAAGGGCUGGGUAAGACGGGUGCCAGCCGCCGCGGUAAUACCUGCAGCUCAAGUGGUGACCGCUAUUAUUGGGCCUAAAACGUUCGUAGCCGGUUUAUUAAAUGCCUGGGUAAAUCGUGUAGCUUAACUAUACGAAUUCCGGGUAGACUGAUAGACUUGAGACCGGGAGAAGCUAGAGGUACUCCUGGGGUAGAGGUGAAAUUCUGUAAUCCUGGGGGGACCACCAGUGGCGAAGGCGUCUAGCUAGAACGGGUCUGACGGUGAGGAACGAAGCCCUGGGGCGCAAACCGGAUUAGAUACCCGGGUAGUCCAGGGUGUAAACGCUGCUUGCUUGAUGUUAGUUGGGCUCCGAGCCCAAUUAGUGUCGGAGAGAAGUUGUUAAGCAAGCUGCCUGGGAAGUACGAUCGCAAGAUUGAAACUUAAAGGAAUUGGCGGGGGAGCACCGCAACGGGUGGAGCGUGCGGUUUAAUUGGAUUCAACGCCGGGAAUCACUAGU
RNAcentral lists this ribosomal RNA (927 nucleotides) under uncultured archaeon. Its description in RNAcentral is "bacterial SSU rRNA". It matches the Rfam family "Archaeal small subunit ribosomal RNA", at positions 1 to 934 of the family's 1478-position model. The record is from RNAcentral.